GACGAACGCUGGCGGCGUGCUUAACACAUGCAAGUCGAACGGAAAGACCCUGGUUUUGUGUUGUGCUCGAGUGGCGAACGGGUGAGUAACACGUGAGUAACCUGCCCUUGACUUUGGGAUAACUUCUGGAAACUGCGGCUAAUACCGGAUAGGAGCUCCUGCUGCAUGGUGGGGGUUGGGAAGGUUCGGCGGUUGGGGAUGGACUCGCGGCUUAUCAGCUUGUUGGUGGGGUAGUGGCUUACCAAGGCUUCGACGGGUAGCCGGCCUGAGAGGGUGACCGGCCACACUGGGACUGAGACACGGCCCAGACUCCUACGGGAGGCAGCAGUGGGGAAUAUUGCACAAUGGGCGGAAGCCUGAUGCAGCAACGCCGCGUGCGGGAUGACGGCCUUCGGGUUGUAAACCGCUUUCGCCUGUGACGAAGCGUGAGUGACGGUAACUGGUAAAGAAGCACCGGCUAACUACGUG
RNAcentral lists this ribosomal RNA (468 nucleotides) under uncultured bacterium. RNAcentral describes it as "partial 16S ribosomal RNA". It matches the Rfam family "Bacterial small subunit ribosomal RNA", at positions 28 to 507 of the family's 1533-position model. The record is from RNAcentral.